CCAUUCACACGCACGGUCCUCUCCCUUUUUCUUUUCUCUCACUUUCCAUUUCUCUCUUCUUCCUCUCCUCUUCUUCACAUGGCUGAGAGAGACCGAAAAUGAGAGCUUCUGAGAGAGAGAAAACUUGCAGAGAUUGAGAGAGUGAUCGCUGAGAGUUCGUGAGGGAGAUGGAGAGGCCGUGAUGGAGACAACCCGUGAGAGAAGAACCAGGAACCCGUAGCAGAUCCAACCGACUGGAGUGUUGGGUUUGGCCGAUCGCCGGUGGGUCGACCCCUGUGGAGCGUGGGUCACGAUUUCCGGCGACUCUGUGACGAAUUUCGGCGGUUUCUCCGGUGGAUUUCUCUGCUGUUCAACAGGGAAUUCCUAAGUUUGAAAUAAACAUGCACGUCUUUGAGUAGAGCACAGAGGGAAAACCUGUAGCCACCCCUAAAUUUGCAGAACGAGACUGGAUUAUCAAAGCAAAGGAUAUGCUCCAGCAACUGUUUCUCUGCCAAGCUUCACGCAGUCGGUGCCCAUCAAGAACUGCAUUAGUAGCUGCAGUUUCUGCACCACACGGGUCUGCAGAAACUGCAGUUUCUACAGAAUGCAGUAAAACGAGCAAACGCGGCGGUCAAACAGAGGACGUGGAACGCCAACCACCCAGUCGGUCACGACGUGUCUCAUGCAUGUCCUGUUCUUGAUAUUGGUUUGCUACCUAGAAUUGGCAACGUGGACGUCCAGCAAUAUCACAUGCGUCGUAGGGGUCUCUUUCCAGUCUAUGCGUGCCAUAACAAGGUUUGGUGCCGACAGUAAACCUGUAGAAGAUGUGACCAAUCUAACGGCCUAUAGGAUGCUGCCGUUCGGUGCCGGGAGGAGAACGGAUUAUAGUUAUUUAUACAUGUCAAUUUUUGGAAGUGGAGGAUUUUAAAAAUUAUCAUCAUACAAUAUGAUGUUCAUAUGAGCUGGAAACAACCUAAAAACGAAGUGAUAUGCAUUAUAAAUUUGCAA
Molecule: long non-coding RNA, 987 nt
Organism: Alnus glutinosa
Lineage: Eukaryota; Viridiplantae; Streptophyta; Magnoliopsida; Fagales; Betulaceae
Exons: 4
Source: RefSeq, a predicted model, not a curated record